This is a non-coding RNA of Schistosoma mattheei, 45 nucleotides long. The record is from Rfam. NCBI's taxonomy places the organism in Eukaryota, Metazoa, Platyhelminthes, Trematoda, Strigeidida, Schistosomatidae.
AUCCAUCUGAAGAGUCCCACGUAGUACGAAACGCUCGUUCUGGAU